This 484-nucleotide ribosomal RNA is filed under the name uncultured bacterium. Its description in RNAcentral is "partial 16S ribosomal RNA". It matches the Rfam family "Bacterial small subunit ribosomal RNA", at positions 30 to 507 of the family's 1533-position model. The record is from RNAcentral.
AUUGAACGCUGGCGGCAGGCCUAACACAUGCAAGUCGAGCGGAUGAAGGGAGCUUGCUCCUGGAUUCAGCGGCGGACGGGUGAGUAAUGCCUAGGAAUCUGCCUGGUAGGGGGGGAUAACGUCCGGAAACGGGCGCUAAUACCGCAUACGUCCUGAUGGAGAAAGUGGGGGAUCUUCGGACCUCACGCUAUCAGAUGAGCCUAGGUCGGAUUAGCUAGUUGGUGGGGUAAAGGCCUACCAAGGCGACGAUCCGUAACUGGUCUGAGAGGAUGAUCAGUCACACUGGAACUGAGACACGGUCCAGACUCCUACGGGAGGCAGCAGUGGGGAAUAUUGGACAAUGGGCGAAAGCCUGAUCCAGCCAUGCCGCGUGUGUGAAGAAGGUCUUCGGAUUGUAAAGCACUUUAAGUUGGGAGGAAGGGCAGUAAGUUAAUACCUUGCUGUUUUGACGUUACCAACAGAAUAAGCACCGGCUAACUUCGUG